This 351-nucleotide ribosomal RNA is filed under the name Nematoda environmental sample. Its description in RNAcentral is "SSU rRNA". It matches the Rfam family "Eukaryotic small subunit ribosomal RNA", at positions 592 to 945 of the family's 1831-position model. The record is from RNAcentral. Lineage: Eukaryota; Metazoa; Nematoda.
UCAAAAUGCAUAGAAUUAUUGCUGCGGUUAAAAAGCUCGUAGUUGGAUCUGUGCGACGGGAGUCGGUCCAGCCUAGCGGCUGCGCCACUGACCACCCGCGCUUUGCCGGUCGGUUUUCGCGUCGUGGCUUUCAUCGGCUGCGGCGCGUGGCUGACGAGUUUACUUUGAACAAAUCAGAGUGCUUAACACAGGCGUUUCGCCCGAAUGUUCUUGCAUGGAAUAAUAGAAGAGGAUCGCGGUCCGAUUUUAUUGGUUUUAUGGACUGAGAUAAUGGUUAACAGAGACAAACGGGGGCAUUCGUACCGCUGCGUGAGAGGUGAAAUUCUUGGACCGCAGCGAGACGAACUACAG